RNAcentral lists this ribosomal RNA (423 nucleotides) under Triticum aestivum (bread wheat). RNAcentral describes it as "partial small subunit ribosomal RNA". The record is from RNAcentral. Lineage: Eukaryota; Viridiplantae; Streptophyta; Magnoliopsida; Poales; Poaceae.
AUGCGGAUGCGGGAUACGCCGUCCACUCACCGGUCACCACCGGCCGGGUCACAUGCGCAUCGGCGGCAUCGCGCACCACGUGGGGACGACCCCAUGCAUAUGCCCUCGCAUAGCGAUAAAGAAAGCUCACGGCGACGAGGAGGAUGCCAAAGCUACUGCUCACUUCCUUGCGGCUUGAGAGGUCAACACAGACAACACUGGCAUCAUCAUUGUUCAUAUACACUCCACAAAAAGAAGGCCCUGCUUCUUGGCAAUCAUGCUUGGUCUCCUCGUCGCCGCCGCGAGCUUCGAAACACAAUCCGGGGCUUCUGUUCGAGACCGGGUGAUGGAUCCUUGCUUUCUCUCUGCGUGAACUUGCAUUGCCUUUCCUAUCGUUUUUUCAUCUGGAAAAAACACUUCUGCUCUUCUCCACUGGCCCUCUGA